This 446-nucleotide ribosomal RNA is filed under the name uncultured bacterium. Its description in RNAcentral is "partial 16S ribosomal RNA". It matches the Rfam family "Bacterial small subunit ribosomal RNA", at positions 331 to 794 of the family's 1533-position model. The record is from RNAcentral.
CCAGACUCCUACGGGAGGCAGCAGUGGGGAAUAUUGCACAAUGGGGGAAACCCUGAUGCAGCAACGCCGCGUGAGUGAAGAAGUCAUUCGUGAUGUAAAGCUCUAUCAGCAGGGAAGAAAAUGACGGUACCUGAGUAAGAAGCCCCGGCUAACUACGUGCCAGCAGCCGCGGUAAUACGUAGGGAGCGAGCGUUAUCCGGAUUUAUUGGGUGUAAAGGGUGCGUAGACGGGAAGUUAAGUUAGUUGUGAAAUCCCAAGGCUCAACUUUGGAACUGCAACUAAAACUAAUUUUCUUGAGUACUGGAGAGGAAAGUGGAAUUCCUAGUGUAGCGGUGAAAUGCGUAGAUAUUAGGAGGAACACCAGUGGCGAAGGCGACUUUCUGGACAGAAACUGACGUUGAGGCACGAAAGUGUGGGGAGCAAACAGGAUUAGAUACCCCCGUAAU